Molecule: unclassified non-coding RNA, 443 nt
Filed under: uncultured fungus
Lineage: Eukaryota; Fungi
Description: partial contains ITS1, 5.8S rRNA and ITS2
Source: RNAcentral
AACGCACAUUGCACCCUCUUUCGGGAGGGUAUGCUUGUUUGAGAAUCUAUAGUAUUUCUAUUUACUUAUAUACCUUUAUUUCGGUAAAGAACAUAGGUAAAUAAUUUGAGGCUUCCAAAGGUUUUCUUUUGGUACUUUUAAAACUAUGAUUCCAGUCAUAUAUUUAAAGUAAAGGUAAAACUUUACUGAUGUAAUUAAUUUGACUUGGUACGUAUUCGAAAAACUUCGGUUUACUUAUGCGCGUACUUGACUGAUGAAAGCAUUGAAAUAUUUAUUUAAAGGGUAAAAUCUUUGAAGAAGAUUGGGAGAUAUUCGAAUUUGAAAAGUCCUUAGGGAUCGAGUAAAUUUCAACCGAGGUAUCGUCUUAAGGUCAUCUUUUAUUAGGGACUUUAUGAUAUCUGAACCAUGGUCUCAAAUCAAGUAGGAAUACCCGCUGAACUUAA